This 372-nucleotide ribosomal RNA is filed under the name uncultured bacterium. RNAcentral describes it as "bacterial SSU rRNA". It matches the Rfam family "Bacterial small subunit ribosomal RNA", at positions 524 to 898 of the family's 1533-position model. The record is from RNAcentral.
UACGGAGGAUGCAAGCGUUAUCCGGAUUCAUUGGGUUUAAAGGGUGCGCAGGCGGAUUAUUAAGUCAGGGGUGAAAUCCCACGGCUCAACCGUGGAACUGCCUUUGAUACUGAUAGUCUAGAGUAUAGUUGAAGUUGGCGGAAUGUGUCAUGUAGCGGUGAAAUGCUUAGAUAUGACACAGAACACCGAUCGCGAAGGCAGCUAGCUAAGCUAUAACUGACGCUCAUGCACGAAAGCGUGGGGAUCAAACAGGAUUAGAUACCCUGGUAGUCCACGCUGUAAACGAUGAUUACUCGAUGUUGGCGAUACACAGUCAGCGUCUGAGCGAAAGCAAUAAGUAAUCCACCUGGGGAGUACGAUCGCAAGAUUGAA